CCCUUAGAUGUUCUGGGCCGCACGCGCGCUACACUGAUGCGUUCAACAAGUUUCCUUGGCCGAGAGGCCUGGGCAAUCUUCUUAAUAUGUAUCGUGAUAGGGAUAGAUUAUUGCAAUUAUUAAUCUUGAACGAGGAAUCCCUAGUAAACGCAGAUCAUCAAUCUGCAUUGAUUACGUCCCUGCCCUUUGUACACACCGCCCGUCGCACCUACCGAUUGGAUGUUCCGGUGAAGCCUCGGGAUGAGGACUGGUGCCUUUAUUGGCAUGAGUUGUUCAGAACUUGUCUAAACCUUAUCAUCUAGAGGAAGGUGAAGUCGUAACA
This 322-nucleotide ribosomal RNA is filed under the name uncultured eukaryote. RNAcentral's name for it is "partial 18S ribosomal RNA". It matches the Rfam family "Eukaryotic small subunit ribosomal RNA", at positions 1470 to 1796 of the family's 1831-position model. The record is from RNAcentral.